This 489-nucleotide ribosomal RNA is filed under the name uncultured bacterium. RNAcentral describes it as "partial 16S ribosomal RNA". It matches the Rfam family "Bacterial small subunit ribosomal RNA", at positions 30 to 507 of the family's 1533-position model. The record is from RNAcentral.
UUGCACGCUGGCGGCAGGCUUAACCCAUGCAAGUCGCGCGGUAGCACAGGGGAGCUUGCUCCCUGGGUGACGAGCGGCGGACGGGUGAGUAAUGUCUGGGAAACUGCCUGAUGGAGGGGGAUAACUACUGGAAACGGUAGCUAAUACCGCAUAACGUCGCAAGACCAAAGAGGGGGACCUUCGGGCCUCUUGCCAUCAGAUGUGCCCAGAUGGGAUUAGCUAGUAGGUGGGGUAAUGGCUCACCUAGGCGACGAUCCCUAGCUGGUCUGAGAGGAUGACCAGCCACACUGGAACUGAGACACGGUCCAGACUCCUACGGGAGGCAGCAGUGGGGAAUAUUGCACAAUGGGCGCAAGCCUGAUGCAGCCAUGCCGCGUGUGUGAAGAAGGCCUUCGGGUUGUAAAGCACUUUCAGCGAGGAGGAAGGUGGUGAGCUUAAUACGUUCAUCAAUUGACGUUACUCGCAGAAGAAGCACCGGCUAACUCCGUG